Molecule: ribosomal RNA, 523 nt
Filed under: Bifidobacterium adolescentis
Lineage: Bacteria; Bacillati; Actinomycetota; Actinomycetes; Bifidobacteriales; Bifidobacteriaceae
Description: partial 16S ribosomal RNA
Rfam family: Bacterial small subunit ribosomal RNA
Source: RNAcentral
GCCGGAUGCUCCAGUUGACCGCAUGGUCCUCUGGGAAAGAUUCAUCGGUAUGGGAUGGGGUCGCGUCCUAUCAGCUUGAUGGCGGGGUAACGGCCCACCAUGGCUUCGACGGGUAGCCGGCCUGAGAGGGCGACCGGCCACAUUGGGACUGAGAUACGGCCCAGACUCCUACGGGAGGCAGCAGUGGGGAAUAUUGCACAAUGGGCGCAAGCCUGAUGCAGCGACGCCGCGUGCGGGAUGACGGCCUUCGGGUUGUAAACCGCUUUUGACUGGGAGCAAGCCCUUCGGGGUGAGUGUACCUUUCGAAUAAGCACCGGCUAACUACGUGCCAGCAGCCGCGGUAAUACGUAGGGUGCAAGCGUUAUCCGGAAUUAUUGGGCGUAAAGGGCUCGUAGGCGGUUCGUCGCGUCCGGUGUGAAAGUCCAUCGCUUAACGGUGGAUCCGCGCCGGGUACGGGCGGGCUUGAGUGCGGUAGGGGAGACUGGAAUUCCCGGUGUAACGGUGGAAUGUGUAGAUAUCGGAA